Molecule: long non-coding RNA, 866 nt
Filed under: Homo sapiens (human)
Lineage: Eukaryota; Metazoa; Chordata; Mammalia; Primates; Hominidae
Description: HSALNT0173543
Source: RNAcentral
GCCGGAACCAGCAGUGGCAACCACUCGGGUCCCCUUCCACAUUGUGGAAGCUUUGUUCUUUCACUUUUUGCAAUAAAUCUUGCUACUGCUCACUCUUUGGGUCCACACUGCCUUUAUGAGCUGUAACACUCGCUGCGAAGGUUUGCAGCUUCACUCCUGAAGCCACCGAGACCAGGAACCCACCUGGAGGAAUGAACAACUCCACGCGCCCCACCUUAAGAGCUGUAACACUCACCACGAAGGUCUGCAGGUUCACUCCUGAGCCAGCGAGACCACGAACCCACCAGAAGGAAGAAACUCUGAACACAUGCGAACAUCAGAAGGAACAAACUCCGGACACGCUGCUUUUAAGAACUGUAACACUCACGGCAGGGGUCCGCGGCUUUAUUCUUGAAGUCAGUGAAACCAAGAAACCACCGAUUCCGGACACAAUGUGAGAACUUCACUGAAGCAGAAUUACCAAAGAAACCAGCUUCUUCAUUACAGGCUAUCAGUGUAAUUCACAGCCCACAAGAAAGAAACACACCUUCUUAAGCUGACUUCUGUAUAAGGCUCGUGCUUCAGUGGUCCUCGGGAUGACAAUCAUGACUUUGUCAGACAGACACAACCCAGACUCGUGACUUAUGCCUCAACAAGACCUUGGGCUUCCACCCAGAGAAGGACUCAGUGCACAAGGAUCAUUUUUCUUACCCUUAUCAUAGCAUCCACAACCAAUUGGCAGUACCCAUUCCCUAACCCCUGCCCACUAAACCACCCUUAAAAACCCCUAACUUCCAAGGCUUUAGAGAGAAUUAUUUGAGUAAUAGCUUCAUCUCCCAUGUGGCUGGCCUCAUGUCAAUUAAACUCUUUUUUUACUUUAAUACCAC